GACGAACGCUGGCGGCGUGCUUAACACAUGCAAGUCGAACGGAAAGGCCCUGCUUUUGUGGGGUGCUCGAGUGGCGAACGGGUGAGUAACACGUGAGUAACCUGCCCUUGACUUUGGGAUAACUUCAGGAAACUGGGGCUAAUACCGGAUAGGAGCUCCUGCUGCAUGGUGGGGGUUGGAAAGUUUCGGCGGUUGGGGAUGGACGCGCGGCUUAUCAGCUUGUUGGUGGGGUAGUGGCUUACCAAGGACUUGACGGGUAGCCGGCCUGAGAGGGUGACCGGCCACAUUGGGACUGAGAUACGGCCCAGACUCCUACGGGAGGCAGCAGUGGGGAAUAUUGCACAAUGGGCGGAAGCCUGAUGCAGCAACGCCGCGUGCGGGAUGACGGCCUUCGGGUUGUAAACCGCUUUCGCCUGUGACGAAGCGUGAGUGACGGUAAUGGGUAAAGAAGCACCGGCUAACUACGUG
RNAcentral lists this ribosomal RNA (468 nucleotides) under uncultured bacterium. Its description in RNAcentral is "partial 16S ribosomal RNA". It matches the Rfam family "Bacterial small subunit ribosomal RNA", at positions 28 to 507 of the family's 1533-position model. The record is from RNAcentral.